ACAGGGGUACCCAAAUAAAAAAUAAACUUUUUAAUUAUUAUUAUUAUUAUUCAUCAGGUUGUGACAGAAACUCACACUAAUUCAUAUGUUUAAUAAAUGUAUUGUAUAGUGUGUGUGGCAGGCUUACAAUGAUGGCAAAAAACUUCAUUUGAGAGUGUGCUGACCCUGGUGCUAGAGGGGGUACGCAGCUAGAGGUUGAAUGUUUGAAGGGGUACGGGACUAUAAAAAGUUUGGGAACCAAUGUACUAGAGCACUCAAACUUAACUCUGGACCUCAAAGCCAGUCCCAAUACCCUUUUUCAUUAUUUUCCUCUAAUCAGGGACCAGAAAUCCAACAGGCUCUGGACCUCAUAGGGCAGAGUUACCCAAACUCAGUGCACAUUUUGUUUUUGCCCUAACACUACACAGCUGAUAAAAAAAACUAAUCAUCAAGCUUUGAUAAUUUGAAUCAGUUGUGUGCUGUUGGCAUGGUGCAGGAGCAGGGUCAAUAGGAUCAAAGUAGUGGACUGGGGUAGUGGGUUUUUAGAGUGUAGGUGGCAGCUGCAGAGAAGUUCCUGGGUGUACAAUAGUUUACUGCAGAAGACUUAUAAGAUGUACCGACAAAUAACAUGCACAGACAAAAUUUGUGAACGCCAUGAUACCGCAGAAGAAUCCUCAGCUGUGUAGUUUUAGUGCAAAAACAAAACGUCUAUCCCUUGGUGUCCCGAGGACCGAGUUUGGAAAAUGCUGUUGGAGGGUAAGAGUUGAAUACCCCUAUACUAGAGUAUAAUGACAUAUUUUUCUAGAGGGACAGGGACUGUGUGUAAUGUGCGAUUUAACUAAAUUCACUUUGUAUUUAACUGUAGAAUCUUCGUUCUCCAUAGAGACGUUGGAUGCAGAAUUAUACUCCAAUCCCUGACAUCCUACACAUGUUCAGCAGAGAAGAACAUCCAUAGUCAUGGAGCUGCUGCAGCAGCUAGACCACUUCCUACAGACACUUCCACCCAACUGUGUGAUUAGUCUGGUGGGCCAAUGCAUCAAACUGUGGUCAUAGGGAGCUGGGGUGCAGAUGGUGGAGUUGUUUGGGGUAGAGAGAACAGUGGACUCAGUGGAGGACAUCCCAGCCACUUGGCAGUGUUGGCACUGCUACUUCCCACAUGACGGGAGGAGUUGAAGGUGGAGCAUGCCUCGAACCUGCGACGCACCCGGUGAUCUACGGUAUGAUGGCUGACUUUGCAGUUCCUGUUACUUCAAAAACCGAGCGACGCCUUCAUGUUCACCCACGAAGACAUAUCUCCCUUCGCCUCCCUACGACCCCUGAGGGGCACCUUCAACACCUCCUCACCUUGACGACACACACUGUGGCUGAAUCUCAAUAGUCUAGAUAAUAGCUUCCUCUGUCACUUCAGUGAGGACAAUACUGUUCUGGUUACACUAGUAUGUACAGAGGCCCUUGAUCAUCAAAUAUGAACGCUUUUAUGGAGGUUUUGUCUUUUAUUUUGUGAUACUGUUUUUAUGGUCUUUUUGUUUGUAUUGGCUGCACUAAACACAUUUCAAUCAACUCUGUUGAUAUGGCGAUUGCAACAGUUGUCAGUUGGUGUGACUAAAAUACAAUUUCAUGUCUUGUAUAUUUUCCAUGCUUUUUCUUUUAAGAACUUUAUCCUCGAGUGUUAUAAUUUCAGUAACAGCUACUUUGCUUUGGCUCUUAUCACCCCAUAAAUUUGUGUGAA
Molecule: long non-coding RNA, 1708 nt
Organism: Oncorhynchus masou masou (cherry salmon)
Lineage: Eukaryota; Metazoa; Chordata; Actinopteri; Salmoniformes; Salmonidae
Exons: 3
Source: RefSeq, a predicted model, not a curated record